UACCGUAAGAAUAAGCACCGGCUAACUUCGUGCCAGCAGCCGCGGUAAUACGAAGGGUGCAAGCGUUAAUCGGAAUUACUGGGCGUAAAGCGUGCGUAGGCGGUUGUGUAAGUCUGACGUGAAAUCCCUGGGCUCAACCUGGGAAUUGCGAUUGAAACUG
RNAcentral lists this ribosomal RNA (160 nucleotides) under uncultured Gammaproteobacteria bacterium. Its description in RNAcentral is "partial 16S ribosomal RNA". It matches the Rfam family "Bacterial small subunit ribosomal RNA", at positions 476 to 635 of the family's 1533-position model. Lineage: Bacteria; Pseudomonadati; Pseudomonadota; Gammaproteobacteria. The record is from RNAcentral.